UAAAAAUCCUGUUUCUAUAUACUUUGAAAUGAAAGGAAAAUGGUUUGUGUUGUUGAGGGUAUGAAGGUGUAAGAUUGAAUCCUCAGUGUUGUUGAGGGUAUGAAGGUGUAAGAUUUAAUCCUCAGUGUUGUUGAGGGUAUGAAGGUGCAAGAUUGAAUAAUCAGUGUUGUUGAGGGUAUGAAGGUGCAAGAUUGAAUCUUCAGUGUUGGUGAGGGUAUGAAGGUGCAAGAUUGAAUCUUCAGUGUUGUUGAGGGUAUGAAGGUGCAAGAUUGAAUCUUCAGUGUUGUUGAGGGUAUGAAGGUGCAAGAUUGAAUUUUCAGUGUUGGUGAGGGUAUGAAGGUGCAAGAUUGAAUAAUCAGUGUUGUUGAGGGUAUGAAGGUGCAAGAUUGAAUCUUCAGUGAAGGUGAGGGUAUGAAGGUGCAAGAUUGAAUAAUCAGUGUUGGUGAGGGUAUGAAGGUGCAAGAUUGAAUAAUCAGUGUUGUUGAGGGUAUGAAGGUGCAAGAUUGAAUCUUCAGUGAAGGUGAGGGUAUGAAGGUGCAAGAUUGAAUCCUCAGUGUUGGUGAGGGUAUGAAGGUGUAAAAUUGAAUCCUCAGUGUUGGUGAGGGUAUGAAGGUGUAAGAUUGAAUCUUCAGUGUUGUUGAGGGUAUGAAGGUGUAAGAUUGAAUCUUCAGUGUUGUUGAGGGUAUGAAGGUGUAAGAUUGAAUCUUCAGUGUUGGUGAGGGUAUGAAGGUGUAAGAUUGAAUCCUCAGUGUUGGUGAGGGUAUGAAGGUGCAAGAUUGAAUCCUCAGUGUUGUUGAGGGUAUGAAGGUGCAAGAUUGAAUCCUCAGUGUUGGUGAGGGUAUGAAGGGGUAAGAUUGAAUCCUCAGUGUUGGUGAGGGUAUGAAGGUGCAAGAUUGAAUCCUCAGUGUUGGUGAGGGUAUGAAGGUGUAAGAUUGAAUCCUCAGUGUUGGUGAGGGUAUGAAGGUGUAAGAUUGAAUCCUCAGUGUUGGUGAGGGUAUGAAGGGUAAGAUUGAAUCCUCAGUGUUGGUGAGGGUAUAAAGGGUAAGAUUGAAUCCUCAGUGUUGGUGAGGGUAUAAAGGGUAAGAUUGAAUCCUCAGUAGCUAACUUUGUGGUAGUUUAAACCACAAAUAUAAGGUUUCAUAUUAUAAUUUUUAAAGUAGAAAAACUUAGGUUAAUUUUUUAGGGAACUUUGUUGCUAUAGUUAAGGGGCCAGUGAAGGGUGGCAGAUCACUCAGUCCUAAGCCAGGUCUACAGUUGUUAUUGUUU
Mytilus californianus (California mussel) is the source of this 1266-nucleotide long non-coding RNA. RefSeq lists it as uncharacterized. NCBI's taxonomy places the organism in Eukaryota, Metazoa, Mollusca, Bivalvia, Mytilida, Mytilidae. The transcript has 5 exons. The record is from RefSeq and is a predicted model, not a curated record.